RNAcentral lists this ribosomal RNA (251 nucleotides) under uncultured bacterium. Its description in RNAcentral is "partial 16S ribosomal RNA". It matches the Rfam family "Bacterial small subunit ribosomal RNA", at positions 524 to 776 of the family's 1533-position model. The record is from RNAcentral.
UACGAAGGGGGCUAGCGUUGCUCGGAAUCACUGGGCGUAAAGCGCACGUAGGCGGAUUGCUAAGUCAGGGGUGAAAUCCUGGAGCUCAACUCCAGAACUGCCUUUGAUACUGGCGACCUUGAGUCCGGGAGAGGUGAGUGGAACUGCGAGUGUAGAGGUGAAAUUCGUAGAUAUUCGCAAGAACACCAGUGGCGAAGGCGGCUCACUGGCCCGGUACUGACGCUGAGGUGCGAAAGCGUGGGAGCAACAGG